Molecule: ribosomal RNA, 253 nt
Filed under: uncultured bacterium
Lineage: Bacteria
Description: partial 16S ribosomal RNA
Rfam family: Bacterial small subunit ribosomal RNA
Source: RNAcentral
UACGGAGGGUGCAAGCGUUAAUCGGAAUUACUGGGCGUAAAGCGCACGCAGGCGGUUGAUUGAGCCAGAUGUGAAAUCCCCGGGCUCAACCUGGGAAUUGCAUCUGAAACUGGUUGGCUAGAGUGUUGUAGAGGGGGGUAGAAUUCCAGGUGUAGCGGUGAAAUGCGUAGAGAUGGGGAGGAAUACCGAAGGCGAAGGCAGCCCCUUGGGAAUGUACUGACGCUCAUGUGCGAAAGCGUGGGGAGCAAACAGG